RNAcentral lists this long non-coding RNA (4754 nucleotides) under Sus scrofa (pig). RNAcentral's name for it is "lncRNA (ENSSSCG00060002080.1)". Lineage: Eukaryota; Metazoa; Chordata; Mammalia; Artiodactyla; Suidae. The record is from RNAcentral.
AGGCUGAACGGCCCCCGCAGCCACGCAGCCCUUAAAACCACACACACACAGGCCUCCUGUAAAACGGCCUGGUAAAGGACACGAAUACACGGAAGACGACUCGAGGACACAGUCAAGGGAGGAACUGAGAGAAAUCCUGCUGUCCCGACAUUCCUCUCUGUCAAAGGCGAGAUAAGGGAUAUUCCGAAUUAAACAUUCAAUUUUCCCUGCAAGCGUCUCGUGUCUGUAACCCAUUGAUUUAAAACAUAUUGGAGCUUUGGAAGAAAUGCACUAGAAGCAGAAGUAGUUUACAUCAACUAUAAGUUUAAGCAAUAAUACAAUAUUUACUAUCCAACAUAGCACCCAGAAUGUCGGGUAGGCGACCGCAGAAGACUUGUGCCAAGACAACGCCCCGAACAGAUGGUUGAAGGCGGUGCAUCUUCUGGGACCUUUCAGAAAGGCAAAUGCCAGGGCCCCCUUCUCUCGAUGCGACAGGCUGAGGGCGGGCAGGGCCCAGAGACCUGCAUUCGCACGGUCUGUCUCCUCCCCCGUGGGGUGUUCCAAGGCCGGCUCAAGUUUGAGAACCUCUGGCCUGAUACAAAGGAGGUUUCUGCCUCAGGAAGCAAAGAGACAAGCACUGCUCCCGUCGGGCAUCUUCCAUGUACCUUCCCGGGGCCGGAGGAUACCCCUUCCCGGCCUGAAUCCUCAACCACACGCGCGCCCACGAAAACCACAGGCGUCUCCCUGGUUACGACUGUCGUCACGCAGGUUGCUGGGUUGUGUUUUCUGACAUAAGCCCUAGAACACGAGUCAUCUCCUUGGCACCUUGCUGGUGAAUCAAAGCUGUGUGUAGCCUUGGUUGAAGAAUCAAAUGUAUGGACUUGCACGAAUGUAAAAUCCUCCUCCAGCCUUAUAAAUAAUGCUCCGUCUCAAAUGCGCUUCUUACAGCACACCUUUCAGAACCAGUUCAGAUCAACCACAGACUUGCAGAGACAAGCCUCACACACACACUGCAGGAAGUGCCCUCUUUGCUCUCGACUGUGCCGCCACCACCCAGUCCGCGCCAGCUACACUUUCGGGGCGCCCAUGGCAGAGCUGUAGCCAAGUAGAGAGGGCCCAAGGGCCGCCCACCACCACCCAGGAAACGGCUUCGUGUGGGUCCCGCUCUGGUGCCUCCUCCUCGUCGUUGUCGUCUUUUUUUUUUAUGGGACGUGGACGUUCCCAGGCCAGGGGUUGAAUCCAAGCUGCAGCUGUGGCAACGCCGGAUCCUUCAACCCACUGUGCCAGGCCAGGGAUUGAACCCGCAGCUCCAGAGCAAGCUGCUGCAGUUGGAUUCCUAACCCACCGCACUCCAGCGGAAAUUCCUUUUUUUUUUUUGGUCUUUUUAGCGCCGCAUGUGCGGCAUAUGGAAGUUCCCAGGCUAGGGGUCGAAUAGGAGCUGUAGCCGCCAGCCUACACCACAGCUACAGCCACACCAGAGCUGAGUCUUGUCUGUGACCUACACCACAGCUCACAGCAACGCCAGAUCCUUAACCCACUGAGGGAGGCCAGGGAUCGAACCGCAUCCUCAUGAAUACUAGUCAGGUUCGUUAACUGCUGAGCCAUCACGGGAACUCCUGAGAAUUCCUCUUUAUAAUGUGUGUACCUGGUCAAAUAAACACCCACAACUAACUCGGCAUAGAUGUAACACGCAUGACCACUGUGACAUAAGGAGGGUGGGGUAGAUGGCUUCUUUCUACAGUUGCAAAUUUUUCCAUUUAUGUUAUAUAAUAACUUUAAGCUCUAAAGAGACAGUGGCACGUGAAGGGUAUGCAUUAUAAUCCCGAGAGCAACCGCUAAAAAAAAAAUGCAAAAAAAAUCUAACUCCAAAGUCAACAGAUAAAUUAAAAAGAAAUUCUAAGAAUCAACCAAUUCGGGCAAAAAAAAAAAAAUCAGAAGACAAAUGACAGACUUCAUGUCAUGUGAAUAAUUACAAUAAAUUUUAAAAGGGAGACCUAGGAGUUCCCAUCGCGGCGCAGUGGAAAUCAAUCUAAGAACCAUGAGGUUGCGGGUUCAAUCCCUGGCCUCGCUCAGUGGGUUAAGGAGCCGGCGUUGCUGUGAGCUGUGGUGUAGGCCAGCAGCUGUAGCUCCGAUUAGACCCCCUAGCCUGGGAACCUCCAUAUGCCGCGGGUGCAGCCCUAAAAAGGAAAAAAAAAAAAGUGCGACCCAAAAAUAAGCUGCCUACAAGGACGUACUUUAUUUUGGAGCUGAGCCUGCGGCACGUGUUCGUUCCCUGGCCAGGGAUGGGAUCCGCACCACAGCAGCAACCCAAGCCACUGCAGUGACAAUGCUGUAUCCUUAAACUGCUGCACCACCGGGGAACUCCUAGGGGUACACUUUAAAUGAAAACACAGACAAGCCGAAAGUAAAAACCUGGGGAAAGGCACACCAUCCAUCGCUAUAUUAACAUCAGGUCAAAGACAGUUGAUGGAGAACCCGUGGUGGCUCAGUGGUUAACGAAUCCGACUAAGAACCGUGAGGUUGCGGGUUCGAUCCCUGGCCUUGCUCAGUGGGUUAAGGAUCCAGCGUUGCCGUGAGCUCUGGUGUAGGUCACAGACGCAGCUCGGAUCCCGCGUGGCUGUGGCUGUGGCGAAGGCCGGCGGCCACAGCUCCAAUUCAACCCCUAGCCUGGGAACCUCCAUAUGCCGCGGGAGCAGCCCUAGAAAAGGCAAAAAGAAAAACAAACGAACAACAACAAAAAAAAAACCACAGUUGAAAACGAAGACUGUCACCAGAAACAAAGAGGGACAUUACAUAAUAAUAAAAGCAUCAAUUGUCACGAAGUCCUAAAUGUGCAUGAGCUGGAGAACAGAGCUUGGAAAUACGUGCAGCAAGAGAGACAAAUGGGGGAAGCGGAGAGGUGCCCAGGCGCCUACACACGUACUGCUGGUGCAGAGACACGGGCUGCACGAAUCGCCCACAGGUGACAAGAAAAACCCUCUCCCCCCUGGGCUCAGAGGUCCCGACGGGAUCAGGGGACUCAGCCAAACAGAGGGCGUUCUCCACUCCCCACCCCUCGCCACUAGUACCGGGUGUGAAAUAGUCCCAGGUGGGUUCCUGAUGGUACGUGUGGGUGUAAAAGGCUUGUGGUUCACAGCUGCGCAUGGGCCAUGCAGGUGAGCUGACGCCGAGCCUGGCACGCAGGUGCCCUGGAGGCGGUCUGUCUUCUUACAGGUGCAGGUAUCGCCUCCUUCGGUGAGGUCCCAGGGCACCCCCACACCCAGGCUCCUCGUGGCCCUUCCCCCCCUUUGGGCGAGAACCUCUGAGCAGAGAAUCACAGUGACCCUGAGUAGGUGGCGGCUCCGUUCUUAACGUUCAGAAGUGUCACACGGCACCCUUUGUACCCAAGAAGGAAAUUCGUUACCAAAGCACACUGACGAAGUUACCAUUUGCUAAAUUACAAUUCCCCAAAUUGUCCUUAUUGCAAAAAGGAAGCGUUCCAUUGGCAGACUGAAUUGCUUGUCUGCAAAACUGAAGACACGGCAAAAGCAAAGUAACUGCAACCCCAGGGACGCGUCCCUAGCCUGUGCUCAGCCAUAAGCUUUAUUUACACCGUCCUAUUUUGAAAGAGCCACUGAGUAUUUAAAAGUAGAAGCCGUUGCAAGGUUUCUUGUUAAACCCCCGUUUAAGCGAUUUAAGCUCAGCUCUGAUUUAAAAAAAAAAAAAAACAGAGGAAUAGGAAGUCUUUGCAAAUGAAAAGCAGAACAAGAGCCGUUUGUCCCAGAAUGAGUGACGGGAGAGGCGGAGGGCUGGCGAGGUCACCGAUUAGGUUGCUCACAUCUGAGGGAGCCGGGCCGCCCGGCACCAGCGAUAGGAGCCGCUAAGGACGAUUAAUUCCACAGGCAGAAAUCAGAGCGACUGGUAACUCGUGAUCAAGAGCCGCACACAUGCGCCUGUACAAUUGAAUUACUUUAUCAGAAAGUGCUGGAACUUAUCCUAAGGAAAAAGAAGAAAGGUAUAAUAAUAAAGUGUAACUGUCUUGAGCAGCGAAGAUAUUUGUUGAAGCUUUGUUUCUGAUACUGAAAAACCGGAGGCCGUCUAUAAACGUCCCAUGAUGAGACAGGCUGAGAAACACACGCACACACACCUUUGCCCGGGACAUGGUUGAAAACGUAUGUUUCUUAUCCUGAAUGACAUUUACCCGGGAUUGUUGGGAGGAGGGAGUAAGCUGAGAACCAAGAACAGGAUUUCAAGUAUAAUUGAGUCCAAGGAGUAAAAUCUUGGCUGUAAACUGACUCGCCUGAGUUACACACAUGAAAGCAUCUGGUUGUGCAGGUCCUGAAAUGCAAUCCAUGACUGGCCCUGGGUGGGGGGAUUAUAGAUGAUUUUUAUGUUCCUUUUAUGUCUUACUUCCUUACGUGACCAUGAGUUACGUAAUUAUCCACACACGUGACAACUUUAGGGCGACUCAUCAGGGCAUGUCCUCCUUCACACAUCCUCAAGUUCUUUAUUAAAUUCUCGAUUCCAGUGAAGUGCUCACGGCUGGCGAUGGUGAGCGUAUUUCACAGGCUUCUGGCCGUCUGUGCGUCUUUGUGGCGUCGUCCAGCGUUUAGCCACGCUGCUGCUAAAACCUGGUCCAGGUCCCUACGUGGCCAGCCACCUUCCCCCCUUAGCCUGGCAGAUGUUCGCGCCGAAGAGAAACCCCCUCCGUCGUCCCUCCUGCCCUCUCCCCAUCCCGCAGCCCGACCUCCUCCACCUCCAGGACCCGUGCUCCUGAGCUGGAUGGCAGUGCCCCC